CAGCAGCCACGGUAAUACGAAGGGGGCUAGCGUUGCUCGGAAUGACUGGGCGUAAAGGGCGCGUAGGCGGAUCACGCAGUCAGAUGUGAAAUUCCUGGGCUUAACCUGGGGGCUGCAUUUGAGACGCGUAGUCUAGAGUGUGAAAGAGGGUCGUGGAAUUCCCAGUGUAGAGGUGAAAUUCGUAGAUAUUGGGAAGAACACCAGUGGCGAAGGCGACUGACUGGACAAGUAUUGACGCUGAGGUGCGAAAGCGUGGGGAGCAAACAGGAUUAGAUACCCCCGUAGUCCCUGUCUCUUAUAC
RNAcentral lists this ribosomal RNA (301 nucleotides) under uncultured bacterium. Its description in RNAcentral is "partial 16S ribosomal RNA". It matches the Rfam family "Bacterial small subunit ribosomal RNA", at positions 509 to 807 of the family's 1533-position model. The record is from RNAcentral.